This is a non-coding RNA of Ictidomys tridecemlineatus (thirteen-lined ground squirrel), 3238 nucleotides long. Lineage: Eukaryota; Metazoa; Chordata; Mammalia; Rodentia; Sciuridae. The record is from RefSeq and is a predicted model, not a curated record.
CCUGGGGACAUGGCUCAGCAGUUAAGCACCCUGGGAUUAAUCCCUAGUACCAAAAAAAAAAAAAAAUCAGGAAAAGCUUAAAUAAUUUUGAAUAACUAUAUGGUGAGUUAUCAGUGUCCACAAAUCUUUCUUGUCCCCUUUAUCUGCCUUUUAACCUAGGGUUUAGACUUACCACAUCCUGAGUAUGUUCUAGCUGAAGUAAUGACUUGAAUACUGAGCCACAGCGUCCCUGGCUAUUGGACAGGUAGCAGCAGCUGCCUCCUUUUGAGGCUCUUGAAUGAAGCGGUGCGAUGUGCUUAGAGGACUUGACUCAGGUUCCCAAGCCAUGCUUUCUGAGAAACCUCAGUUCAUAUGGUUGAAUAUCUCAGCUGAGUUCUGAGUGGCACCUGCCUUGCUUUUGAUGUGAUACUGAGCCACCGGUAGCUAAGCAUUUCUGAGCACUGCCUAUAUACAGAGCACAUUUGUAGGCUUCCAGCAGAUAAAAAUAACUAGGUACCAUGAAGUUGUAGUUAUUGAUGUGAUAUUUUAACUUCUAGUUUUAAGUAGUUUUUUAAAGUAUUCUGGGUCUCAAGAUGAUAACACCAUUGUAGUACAUAGAAAAAGACAGGUGACACUGUCCUGAUGUAGCUAAAUAUUCCGAGUGAUAUAGUCCACAGACUAGUCCUACUCAUAUAGCUAUAGUGAGCAGCACAGGUAUUUUUCUCAAGCACCUUAAAUGAGACUCUAGACUUGUCACAGAAUGUACAGUAGUGGGAUGUAGAAUACAGGAACAGAUUAUUGAAUGCUGAACCAGGAAAAAAGUACGGGCUUUAUACUGACGGAAGUGAACCCCAUGUUUCCCCAGUGUGGGCUGGGUGGGGGUUUGAAAGGGAUCUUGCUUACUGGGAAUUGAUAAGAUCUACUUGCCAUUAGGGCAAGGCAAAGGUCAGGGUCUCCAAGACCGCCAAAGAACCACUGCAGGGACUUGCUGCAUGAGGAAUGUUAGGAUUAUUUGGGGGCAGUUUGCAGGGGAAGCAUAUCCCAGAGACAAGGGUGUCAUUCCAGGUAUAUGGAUUUAGUAGUAGAAAGGCAAAGCUGGAGAUCCACAGGAGGACCGAGGAGAAAUGUCUCACUUGUGUUUGGGGUGUUCAAGACAUUUUCUUGUCUCAAGUAGCAGCUUAUUCAAUCUUUAAAACUGGCUAACUUGAAUCUCCAGGGAUGGUUUUGAAGAAAAAUAUCAUUUCUAAAAAUCAGACGCAAGUGUUAAGUACACAUCAGCCUAGACAAUGCCCCAAGCUUUGGUCUCCUCACCUAUAAAAUAGAGACAACUAGAACACUUACCUGAUAGGGCUGUGAGGAUUAGCUCACAGAAACUACAUACAGCCUGGCCUGUUACACCUUCUAAGCAUUCAGUGAACCUCAGCAAGUAUGAGACUCCAGAAGAUGAGAACCAAUGGCAACCCAAAGGAACUGGAAGUUACAUUAGGAAAACAUCCUUGCUGACAUGUGAGCUUCAGGGGAGUAAAAAGGAAGACAGACUGUGAAGGCCUUCAACCUCAGCCCAGUACGGAAAUGAAAGCAACUGAAAAGUCCCAGCCUCCUUGAUUUAGUGUUUGAUUAGUGACUGAUCACAGAGGCUACUGAGAUCCACCUGAUCAGUAAGACAGCUUUGGUAGCUCAAGUGUGGCAUUUGGAUUUAUUACAGAUAAUAAUUUCAAGUACAGGUGAGCAUUUUAGGUGUUUUGUCAGUUAAAUGAACUGUAAGUAUGUUGCAGUCCAAUAAAGCAUUAGUUAAUUUUGUAAUCAAAAAGCUGAAUCUAAAAGUUUUUAUAAUAAAAUUGGGAAAUAGAAUAUUAGCUAAACUCAGGAAAAACUUUAGAGCUAAGAAAAAUGACUAAGAAUUUAAGGAUGCAAGGAAUACAAAAUACUGGAAAUGAAUCUGGCAACAAUUUUUUUAAAAUAUUUUUUAGUUCUCAGUGGGCUUUUUUAUUUUAUUUAUUUAUUUAUAUGUGGUGCUGAGAAUCAAACUUGGCCUCACACAUGCUAGGCAAGUGCUCUGCCACUGAGCCACAACUGCAGCCCAUGUGGCAACAAUUUUUAAGUGCUUCUGGAAACAGCUUCUUGAGGCACUGCACAAAACUUUCAAGUCUAGGGCUUGAAAACAAGUCAUUUAUCUUUGUUGAUAGAACAUUCAAUUUGGUAGCACCAGUCAAAAAAAACAUGUUCUUCUGUCACCUUCAGGUAAAAACAUCUAUGUAGAUUCAAUGUGCAGAUACCACAAGAGUUAGUGAAUGAAGCCUCUGAUGAGGAUCAGGAAGUUAUCAUUUUCCUUUGGAAAAUUCUAACCAUUCUUAUAGUUAAGUUGUAACCCAAAUUUGGGGGCUAGAAUUUUCAAAUUCGUUCUUAUAUUCCAACCAACCAGUUGUCAGUGAAAUUCAGCUGUGUCCAGAUACUAAUUUCAGUCCUCAUUUAAUCAAGAUGUGUAUGGUGUGCCAUUUCAAAAAACAUUCCUUUGUCUUUUAGCUGCCUAAUUAGCACAGUUGCAAGUACGGUGUCUCCCAGCAAGGACCCACCCACGUGCCAGUUGUUCAGGGCUGGCGAACAAGAGAACAGUGAACCAGUCAUUAUGUUCUUGGACAGACUGGCUGCUCGACCUUUCCAGCAACACUGGCAAGUUAGGUGGAGUCCUUCAAACAGACCUGUAUUCAGAGGCCCUGUGUAUACAAUGAAUAAAGAUAAGGCAGCUCUGUUUAGAAGCAGGGGCCGGGGGCUCAUCCCCCAACAGCUUCCACCCCACCAGCUGAAACUUCUAUUACUCCAAGAGGGAUGGGGCUGCCACUCAUUUGCCUGUGUUUGUACCAGAGCUGGUCAGAUGUCAGUUUGGCUUUCUCACUGAGCCCUCCCACUUCGGGGAUGCAUUGCCCAAGACUGAAGGAGCUCAAGAACUCAGUCACCUUCAGAGCUGCUGAGCUGCUGUUCGUUUCUUGGCAUCAUAUUAGGUGACUCAGCUUAGGAAAACCUUCUGCAAAUUUGACAAGGCACCCUUCAGGAGGCCAGGGCUUUUCAUGAAGGGGCUUCCAGUGUGCCCUACCUUUUGGCUGUGUGUAAAUUAAUUAUAUUUUAAUAUGUGUGUAUAUAUAUGAUAUUUUAUGUGCUAUAUAUUUUAUGUACUGUAUUUUUUGUGUCUUUUAAAAAAUACUUUAUGCAAAAGAAUAAAACACCCACAUACCCACUACCUGGGUUAUGAAAUGGAAUAUUA